RNAcentral lists this ribosomal RNA (468 nucleotides) under uncultured bacterium. Its description in RNAcentral is "partial 16S ribosomal RNA". It matches the Rfam family "Bacterial small subunit ribosomal RNA", at positions 28 to 507 of the family's 1533-position model. The record is from RNAcentral.
GACGAACGCUGGCGGCGUGCUUAACACAUGCAAGUCGAACGGAAAGGCCCUGCUUUUGUGGGGUGCUCGAGUGGCGAACGGGUGAGUAACACGUGAGUAACCUGCCCUGGACUUUGGGAUAACUUCAGGAAACUGGGGCUAAUACCGGAUAGGAGCUCCUGCUGCAUGGUGGGGGUUGGAAAGUUUCGGCGGGUGGGGAUGGACUCGGGGGUUAUCAGCUUGUUGGUGGGGUAGUUGCUAACCCAGGCUUUGGCGGGUAGCCGGCCUGAGAGGGUGGCCGGCCACAUUGGGACUGAGAUACGGCGCAGACUCGUACGGGAGGCAGCAGUGGGGAAUAUUGCACAACGGGCGGAAGCGUGAUGCAGCAGCGUCGCGUGCGGGAUGACGGCCAUCGGGUUGUAAACCGCAUUCGCCUGUGACGAAGCGUGAGUGACGGUAAUGGGUGAAGAAGCACCGGCUAACUACGUG